RNAcentral lists this long non-coding RNA (2120 nucleotides) under Salvia miltiorrhiza (redroot sage). RNAcentral describes it as "long non-coding RNA (SMIL_LNC012427)". Lineage: Eukaryota; Viridiplantae; Streptophyta; Magnoliopsida; Lamiales; Lamiaceae. The record is from RNAcentral.
CAACAGUCAACGAUAAUCAACAAAGUAUCCAACAAUCCAAAUAGUCAACGAUAAUCAACAAAGUAUCUAACAAUCCAAAUUCUAGUUAAGUUAGCACCUAGCAAAAUAGAUUCAAGUUCCUAAAACAAACAUAAUCAAGGGGGUGGUAGAUUCCUCAUCUCAGCUAGCAGCUUCAUGAACUCGGCUUGCUGUGCCUGCAACUGUGCCUGUACGUCUGCACGCAUCUGAGCCUCUCUAGCUUGUGCCUCCUCUCGUAUCUGCGCCUCUCUAGCCUCCAUCUUAGCCUGCAUCUGAGCCUCGUACUCCUUCAUCUUAUCGGCUAAAACUGCAUCAAGCUGAGGCUGUGAGCUAAAACUGGCUCCUUGGUUGGAUCUAGAGGUGGAGGUGUAAGCAUGAGAACGUGAACCAAUCCCAAAAACUCGCUUCUUGGCCGAUACGCCUCCAACUGCAUCCAAUAGAAACCUGUUCAUGUCUACCUCCUGAGACUCAGAGCUAUCAUUUGACUGAGAUUGAGCUAGCUCUGCAGCCUUGGCAGUCACUUGGGCCUGUUUUUGUAGUUAAUAAAAACUUUAUAAGUUAAUCAUUAAGUAUAGAUACAUAAAGAUGAAUUUGUGAUAACUUAAUUUAAGGAUUUCAUACGUAUGCAUCUCGAGCUCUGGGAUAGGUGAAUUCUCCAGCCUUCGCAUGCAAGACAUUGAAGACACUCCAGUCCACUUCUUCAGCUGGAACUCCUUGUUCUCUCUUCAGUUCAAACAAAUUAAUAAUAGUUAAUAAAAAUUUAAAGAAAUUUAAGCUGUAUUUAAUUAAUACUAACUUACCAGUACUACAGCAUGCUGUAGGGCAUUUCUCGACCCUCCUCUAUGGAUGGAAAUACCAGUACCAGGCCCAUCAGGCUCAGACAUCCUAUUCUUUUGUGCUUUGGCUGCCUUAGCCUUCACUUCAUCCUUGUUCCAAUAUUCUAACCACUUUUCCCACACAUUCUGCCUCAUCCAAGGAGGACGCUCAGGUCUGCCCUUCUUCAUUUUAUGAAUCAUAUCUUUAUAACGAAUAGUAGCCCUGGCAUACCACCUAGCGUAUACCGCCUCAUCAGUGAGGUCAUCCUUCCACCAAUACACUUUCUGCAAGCAUAACCCAACAAACAAACCAAAACAAUAUCAAUUCAAUAAAGUGAAUAUAUCAUAAUAUAUCAUUAAAUGAAGGGACACAACCCAACAAACCAAAACAAUACCAAAUAAUUCAUAAUAUCAUCAACUUCAGUAAAUAUAUCAUUAGAUGAAGGGACACCGCUCAACAAACAAUUCAAAAUCAAAUUGAAAUCAACUUAACUAAAAUUUAUCAUAAAAUUAAGGGACACAGCCCAACAAACAAUUGAAAACAAUAAGUAAUUAAACCUUAAAUUCAGCCCAGUAAUCCUGUUUCGUUGCAUCCGGCACUGCUCUCCAUGUCCAGCCAUCAUGAUCCAUGUUGGUUUUAAAACUGUUUGUGAUUGUGGUUGGAACGGCAUGAUAUGGAUACAUAAGGUCCCUGAAUCCAACACAAAACAAUAAGUGUUAAAGUUAAAUAAUUUCAAAAUAAAAUAGUAAGUGUUAAAAUUGAGCCAACAAACUUACUUGAAGAGGAUGCUGCAACGGGGUCAGGGAAGGACCGACGACGGCUGAGGAUGAGGCCGGAGGGCCGAGGCGGUGGUGGCGAUUGGAGGCUGGGACAGAAAUUGAACGGAAUGAGCCAUAUUUGAACUUUAAGCAACAGAAAUUGUAAAUAGGCUGCGGCGAAACAGAAAUUGAACGGAAUAAGCCAUACCUCUAACUUCUGCCGAAACAGAAUAGGCGGCGGCGGCGGCGGCGGAGGGGCGCUUUCGGUUCUUCUUCUCGUAGAUCCCCUGGCCUUGAAUUGUAGAUUGCAGACGUUGCGGAGGUAGAGGCUGACGGCGCGGGCUGCGAAGGUGUUCCUCAGCGGCAAUAGCCGGUGGAGGCGAAGGACGGUGAACGGUGAAGGCAGGACGGCGGUAGGGUGGCUGGAGGCGGUAGGGUUCACCAUUAAUUUAGGGAUUUAGGAUUUUAGGGAAAAAAAAGUGGAGAGAAGGGAGAAAGAAAUCUGGCGCUGAAAUUAAAUUUUGAGAC